AACGUAGGUUCCGAGCGUUAUCCGGAUUUACUGGGCGUAAAGCGCGUUUAGGCGGUUUGGCAAGUCGGGCAUGAAAUCUCUCGGCUCAACCGGGAGAGGUUGUCCGAAACUGCUGGACUUGAGGGCAGUAGAGGGUGGUGGAAUUCCGGGUGUAGUGGUGAAAUGCGUAGAUAUCCGGAGGAACACCAGUGGCGAAAGCGGCCACCUGGACUGCACCUGACGCUGACACGCGAAAGCUAGGGGAGCGAACGGG
This 253-nucleotide ribosomal RNA is filed under the name uncultured bacterium. RNAcentral describes it as "partial 16S ribosomal RNA". It matches the Rfam family "Bacterial small subunit ribosomal RNA", at positions 524 to 776 of the family's 1533-position model. The record is from RNAcentral.